AUACGUAGGUGACAAGCGUUAUCCGGAUUUACUGGGCGUAAAGGGCGUGUAGGCGGUCUUGCAAGUCAGAAGUGAAAUUCCUGAGCUCAACUCGGGCGCUGCUUCUGAAACUGCAGGACUUGAGUGCUGGAGGGGAUAGCGGAAUUCCUAGUGGAGCGGUAAAAUGCGCAGAUAUUAGGAAGAACACCGGUGGCGAAGGCGGCUAUCUGGACAGUAACUGACGCUGAGGCGCGAAAGCGUGGGGAGCAAACAGGAUUAGAUACCCUGGUAGUCCACGCUGUAAACGAUGAAUACUAGGUGUGGGGGGACUGACCCCUUCCCUGCCGGAGUAAACACAAUAAGUAUUCCACCUGGGGAGUACGGCCGCAAGGUUGAGACUCAAAGGAAUUGACGGGG
RNAcentral lists this ribosomal RNA (396 nucleotides) under uncultured bacterium. RNAcentral describes it as "partial 16S ribosomal RNA". It matches the Rfam family "Bacterial small subunit ribosomal RNA", at positions 523 to 918 of the family's 1533-position model. The record is from RNAcentral.